GACGAACGCUGGCGGCGUGCCUAAUACAUGCAAGUUGAGCGCUGAAGGUUGGUACUUGUACCGACUGGAUGAGCAGCGAACGGGUGAGUAACGCGUGGGGAAUCUGCCUUUGAGCGGGGGACAACAUUUGGAAACGAAUGCUAAUACCGCAUAAAAACUUUAAACACAAGUUUUAAGUUUGAAAGAUGCAAUUGCAUCACUCAAAGAUGAUCCCGCGUUGUAUUAGCUAGUUGGUGAGGUAAAGGCUCACCAAGGCGAUGAUACAUAGCCGACCGGGGAGGGUGAUCGGCCACAUUGGGACUGAGACACGGCCCAAACGCCUACGGGAGGCAGCAGUAGGGAAUCUUCGGCAAUGGACGAAAGUCUGACCGAGCAACGCCGCGUGAGUGAAGAAGGUUUUCGGAUCGUAAAACUCUGUUGGUAGAGAAGAACGUUGGUGAGAGUGGAAAGCUCAUCAAGUGACGGUAACUACCCAGAAAGGGACGGCUAACUACGUGCCAGCCGCCGCCGUAA
Molecule: ribosomal RNA, 513 nt
Filed under: uncultured bacterium
Lineage: Bacteria
Description: partial 16S ribosomal RNA
Rfam family: Bacterial small subunit ribosomal RNA
Source: RNAcentral